Molecule: long non-coding RNA, 2457 nt
Organism: Vicia villosa (hairy vetch)
Lineage: Eukaryota; Viridiplantae; Streptophyta; Magnoliopsida; Fabales; Fabaceae
Exons: 3
Source: RefSeq, a predicted model, not a curated record
CGGUGACACAGAGCCAAACGGUGCCAACACAGCAAUAAUACUUCGUUGUUUUUGCUAUCUACAAUAUAAGAAAGUUAGAUGCUCUGGAAAAGACCUAACUGCCCCUUUGUUUUGUUAGAGAGCCACGUGGCUACCUCCUUUGCAUUUCUUUGCUUCUUGCUUUUGCUAUCUGGCUCUCAUUCCUUUUCCUAUCUAUCUCUCCCUCUUUCUCUCAUUUUUUUAUCUCUUUCUCUCUCUCACGUUUCUGUUUUUCUUCCCCCUCUUUCUCUUCUCUUCAUUCACUCUCUUCUCCCUCUUUCUCUUCUUCCUUGAAACGAAAGGCUAAUCUGGCGACGAUGUCGGAUUCGUAACGAACAUGUGGUGGUCGGCCACUAUUUAUGCAUUUUGAAGAUGAAUAUGAUGUUGAUGGCGACGAUGAACACGUUUGCUGAUGAUAUCGAUGAUGUUGAUUUUGAACCGUUGAUGGUUGUUGCUAAGGGUUACGAUCGAGAAAUUGAUGAUGAUGUUGGUGACGCUCAAAGUCACAGCAAAUCGGUGAGAUCUUUCUUUGUUUUCGUGUUUUGAGUUCUCUAAUAUCUCUUCUUCUCUCAAUAUUUUCUUACGGUUGCUUUAUAUUUGCAGCUUAGAAAUGGAACACUCACUGGGUAUGUCAAUGGGUAAAAGAUGUUGAUACUCAGUGGCACAUAUAUUGCUUGGAUUUUUCUUAUUUUUUCUGCAUAAUGAUCUUAUGCAGGCGACGACAAUAAAGACAUGCACCAGGGUAUGUCAAUGGGUAAAAGAUAUUGAAAAUGAAAUAUUUUUACUAGGAGGUAACCCCUUUUCAUGGUGAUUUUAUUUCCAAUCAAAUAAUGUAAAACAUGUAAGAGAAAGUUUAUUUAAUGGUUAUUGAUGAGGAUUUCCUUGAAAUCUGCGGAAUGGAGAGUUCGUUUCCACCGGGAUUUAAAUGGGGAUCUAGAAGAGAGGUUCUCGAUUGGCUGGCGUCAGUGUUAUCAAAGCAGCAUCUGCAGGGCCAUAGAAGUGUAAGGCCUGCUCACUAGCUCAUGAGAUCUCAAAUGGUAAUGUUAAUGAAGUAACUCAUCUUUCUCUGCAAUUAAUCGGUGGAUGACAAUGUACGUGCCCGCCAAAUAUGUUUUCUUUGUGAUUCAAACAUAAUAUUUAGAUGAUUUUCAUCUUCCUGUUACAAUCUUUCUAAUAUUCAGAUUCAGUCCUUUGUUUAUGUCAUGGGCAAUGGAGAGAACCAUUAUGUUGCAUAUUUAGAUGAUACAUAUGAAGACACAAGGGGGCUGAAAAGGUAAAACUAAGGUGGUUUCAUCAUAAAUGUGUGGGACGCAAACGCUGACUCUUUGGUCCCGUACCAGAAUGAUGAGGUUGUCGUAGGGAUGUAUUUAGUGGCGGCGUCAAGUUCUGCUUGAAGUUGUAGGGCUCUUAGACUUUGGUGCAAGGACCGAUUUGUUACAGUAGCGGGUUUCUUGGAUAUUUUCCAAACUGGGUCCGAAUCAAGCUUCUAAAUUCAUUUUGAAUUUCUGUUUAGAUUUAAUUUGUGCAGGGAGUUUCCUCUUGGAGCUACGGAUUCAUUGUUUAGGUCUACGCGGUUUGAUGUGAGUUUUCGAACCGGUUCGAUUCAGUUGGGAUGAUGUGCAACUGUGUUUUUUUUGGCACAUGGUCUGAUUAUGCAUAAAUUAUGCAGGCUUGGGUUUGAUAUGCUGCAAGUUCUUUUAUUUAUAUGAAUAUGUUGUUUGAACGGGGUUAAUUGUUUGGAAAUUUUCUUGUGUAGGUGCUUAUGGUGUACCAAGUGAAGCAAGGUUAGCAUGAUGCAUGCCUCUGCUCAACGUUGCGGUUUCAUACGUAUGCAGGUUGUAUGGUAUAUGCACGGAUUUUGUAUAAUAGCUAUAGGUUAUCAUAGUUUUCUAGUUCUUGAAAUGAGUAGCCUGUAGCUCACAGUCUGUCUUGAGUAUGCAUGUUGUAAUGAAUUAUGGAACUUUAUUUAGCUCUGAAUUAUAUGUGAAUGACUGGUAUAUAUGCAAAUUCAAUGGUGAAUGAAAACUGAAAUUGGAUGGCACGACUCAAUGGUUGUAUGUGAAUUUUGCUUGGUAUUGGAGGCCUUAGCAUAAUGUUCAUUAAUGUUCAUGGUGGUUUACUGUACUAAUGUGGGAUAGUAUAUUUGUUUUGUGCAAAUCAAGACAAUUGAUAUGGCCUGUUGGAUGUACAUGGUGUGAACAUGGUUUUAGCUAGCAUCAGUUUGUAUGGCAAGUAGCAUAAUUUAUACAAGUACGAUUUGCUUCGGAUACUGAAUAUGUGUACUGUUUCUUAUGUCGGGCUGAUUUUGGUGAAUUGAAUCAAGGUACAUAUAUAGCUGAGGUUCUGUUAUAAUUGUUUUGUUAGUAUGAAUUAAAUGUAUACAGUUAGAUUUAAGAAAUAAAGAUAUAUUUUAGAGGAGGGAUCAAAUUACACCCGAAG